Molecule: transfer RNA, 83 nt
Filed under: Candidatus Methanoperedentaceae archaeon HGW-Methanoperedenaceae-1
Lineage: Archaea; Methanobacteriati; Methanobacteriota; Methanomicrobia; Methanosarcinales; Candidatus Methanoperedentaceae
Also listed under: 1 other name
Description: Candidatus Methanoperedenaceae archaeon HGW-Methanoperedenaceae-1 tRNA-Leu
Rfam family: tRNA
About the family: Transfer RNA (tRNA) molecules are approximately 80 nucleotides in length.
Source: RNAcentral
GCGAGGGUAGCCAAGCCGGCCAAAGGCGCUGGACUUAAGAUCCAGUUCUUAGUGAUUCAUGGGUUCAAAUCCCAUCCCUCGCA